This 536-nucleotide long non-coding RNA is filed under the name Prunus persica (peach). RNAcentral's name for it is "long non-coding RNA (PPER_LNC006866)". Lineage: Eukaryota; Viridiplantae; Streptophyta; Magnoliopsida; Rosales; Rosaceae. The record is from RNAcentral.
AUUUGUGUGGGUUUAUUUGUAUAUAGUUCAUGGCCUAUUUGUUUUUGUGGCUUAGGGUUUUUACGUCUUCAAUAUAUGCAUAACAUUCUCACUUUCUUAGUGUGACCGCCACAUUUGCUCAGCAAAAAGAAUAAUAAUACCACCACCACCAACAACAAUAAUAAUAAUAGGGAUUAUUUUUUUUUUGGACAAAAUAAUAGAGAAUUAUUAUUAACACAGCAAAAUAGUCACUUCUAAAAUAAUAAUAAUAAUACCAAAAAUAUUGACAAAUCACAGUAAAAGAAGUUGACAGAAGAAAUUAAAGCUACAGUACUGGAGAGGAGAAAGGCAGAGAGGAAGAGAGAGUUACCCACAACCACAGUGAAGAUUCCUUGGGCUGGCACUGAAAUUAGCAGUUUUCCAUUUCUAGCUAAACUCCAAGAGCCUAGAAAACCUUGUAAACUUGACAGAAAUGGCGACCCUACCAAACUCCUCCCAGUCCCACCAUGCAACAUAUAUAUUACUUUAUAAAUUUUAUUCUUGAUAAAUUUCUAUAU